AUAAAGUAGAACGCAGUUCAACUGUAAAAGAGCACAAGUGAAUUUAAGUUUAUACAUAUGAGAAAGACCGUAGAACUCGGCCUGACAUUGCUGCUAUACACAUUCAUUGUGGGUAGAGGUUCUCACUGUCAGAUACUGCUACUGGAUUGCAGAUUGCAAAGCUGUUUGAUUCACAAGAUUCUAAUUGAUGGACUGGAGUCGUGUAGAUUACUUGAGGAUUGCGGUGGCGUUUUAAUCAGCUGUUUGGACUCUGACGGCACCUAUUCACUCUAGAGGAUCCAUUGGUAAGCAAGUGAUGUAAUUCUAAAUUUCUCCAAAUCUGCUCAGAUGAAAAAACAAGCUCAUCUACAUCUUAGAUGGCCUGAAGGGGAGUAAAUUUCCAUUUUUGGAAGAACUAUUGCAUUAGCUUAAGGAUCUGACACCAGGCUACAGUACUUUUACAGGAAGAUACUUUUACCAAAAAUACUCAUCGAUCGAACUGCAGCAGGAAAACAACAACAACAAAAAACAUAUAACACACAAAAGUGCUUGGGUUGAUUACAUUUUGUCCCUUAGGUGUGAAAGUCUGACUUAUUUGCUCACUGCCAAAUGGUGAAAAGCACACACAUCAUGUUUGACGCUAAUUAGAAGCCACAAGCUACACACACGAUUCAGAGGUUUGAAAUGACUAUGUGAUUCCAAAGGGAACAGCAACAUGACACAAUGACUGACUCACCGGCGCCGACUCUCAAUAUCAAUUCUCUCAAUACCAACUUGUUAUGCCCUCACCAGGGGUAACGUAACAUAGCCAUUUGGGGGAUGCUGAAAGAAACUGCAUGAUUAGUAUGUUGCCUGGUGUUUGUUCUUUGAGAGGUUGUUUCUUAUUGAGACCAUUGACUGUGCUGGCCAUGAUGAACAGCAUGUGCAUUUAAGGAAUGUUUUUUGAUGGCUUUAUCUUGAAAUUCAAGGAAGUAAUUGAGUUGGGUCUUACUCAGGAAACUGGCAUGGAGAUACCUCACAUCCAUCAAAUCUACUUUUUGUUUUGACAUCCUUCAAAAACGUUGUUCUCUCUGUAUGACAUCCAAGUUCACCUAAACUACCCCUGUAUUGGAAAGCAAAACCUAUAAAAAUAUUUAUUAUCUUUUCUUCAUUUAUUGUGGACAGCCAGUGGAACAUUAUUGCUCAGAGAUUGCUCUAGCUCAUGAAACUUGAUAGAGUUUUAUUUAAACAACAAAUUUGUCUCAACAUUAUGUAAUGUCUCUGCACUCUGGGUUUUCCAUUUCCUGCUACUUGUGUAUCUAAAAUUCCUCAGUAGAAAUAAAUGUAGAAACAAAUGAGUAUGGAACUAAAUAUGAAUGUGGA
This is a long non-coding RNA of Cyprinus carpio carpio, 1341 nucleotides long. The record is from Ensembl. Lineage: Eukaryota; Metazoa; Chordata; Actinopteri; Cypriniformes; Cyprinidae.